CCUACGGGGGGCAGCAGUGGGGAAUAUUGGACAAUGGGCGAAAGCCUGAUCCAGCCAUGCCGCGUGUGUGAAGAAGGCCUUCGGGUUGUAAAGCACUUUCAGUGGGGAAGAAAGCCUUGGGGCUAAUACCCUCGAGGAAGGACAUCACCCACAGAAGAAGCACCGGCUAACUCCGUGCCAGCAGCCGCGGUAAUACGGAGGGUGCGAGCGUUAAUCGGAAUUACUGGGCGUAAAGCGCGCGUAGGCGGUCUGAUAAGCCGGUUGUGAAAGCCCCGGGCUCAACCUGGGAACGGCAUCCGGAACUGUCAGGCUAGAGUGCAGGAGAGGAAGGUAGAAUUCCCGGUGUAGCGGUGAAAGGCGUAGAGAUCGGGAGGAAUACCAGUGGCGAAGGCGGCCUUCUGGACUGACACUGACGCUGAGGUGCGAAAGCGUGGGUAGCAAACAGGAUUAGAUACCCCGGUAGUC
RNAcentral lists this ribosomal RNA (465 nucleotides) under Vreelandella stevensii. RNAcentral describes it as "partial 16S ribosomal RNA". It matches the Rfam family "Bacterial small subunit ribosomal RNA", at positions 338 to 795 of the family's 1533-position model. The record is from RNAcentral. Lineage: Bacteria; Pseudomonadati; Pseudomonadota; Gammaproteobacteria; Oceanospirillales; Halomonadaceae.